AGCCCUGUAGUGUAGUGGUCUAGCACAUGAGGUUCUGGGCCUCGGGACCCAGGUUCAAAUCCUGGCAGGGCUA
Molecule: transfer RNA, 73 nt
Filed under: Candidatus Woesearchaeota archaeon
Lineage: Archaea; Nanobdellati; Candidatus Woesearchaeota
Description: tRNA-Gln
Rfam family: tRNA
About the family: Transfer RNA (tRNA) molecules are approximately 80 nucleotides in length. Their secondary structure includes four short double-helical elements and three loops (D, anti-codon, and T loops).
Source: RNAcentral